GAGAUUAGUUGACUUGAGAGAGUCAGUUCCUGCUGAAUUUGUGUUUGUUCUGAUUAUGGUCCUAAAAUCUGGUCUGAAAAUGCAGGCAGGAAUGCAAAUAAAAUGACAGUGAAUUAACGUCCAUCAAGCAGACGAAGACAACAGACCAGUUGAUGAUGGAGCCACAAGAUAAAGCCAGAACUUGGGUCUCUGGAUGACCCCAUGGAGUACAGCUCCCUACCCAUCUUAAAAUAAGAAUAAGAAGUUGGCAACUUUAUACCACUUCCUGGAUUUUUGGUGGAUUUCUUCCUGGUGUAUGCGAGUUUAGCCUAGGAUUCACUUCCAUAAAAGGAUCGCGGAUGUUUAUAUGGUUCCUUGCUUUCCUGCUCGGCUUCCCAGCCCCCCGCGUCUUCAGCAGUCACUGCACCGCAUGGAAGAACUCCCUCCCCGCGGCGUUACAGGCCCCUGAUGAAGAAGGCCUUGCCCCCCUCUGUUGGUCAGAUGCACUGAUUGAUAUACUAAUCACCAGCAUUAAUGUCAGAACUCUCAUUUGACGCAGUGUGUGUGUUCAUCAAGUCCCUCUGUGGGGACCGCGGCGCACAUUUAUUCCUUCAGGGAACAGGCACUCGCUGCUUCUUUACAACAGAGGUUUUUCUUUUUCCUUCAUGGUCACCGAGAGGCCCCACACCAAGCAUGGACACGUCCAUUCCCACCUCCCUGUGAGGCCGGGGAAUUCCUGGCCUCCAGACCCUGCCAAAGAAGCUGAAGUGUGACCUUCGACCCUCCUCCUCGAUCAGGAGACUCAGAACAGCUGCCAUUUGCCCCUGCUGCUGGCCCGUGGGCCCGCGCAGCCCACAGUGGCCGUGCCUUCCAAUUUCGGACUCCUGUGAUGGGCUUGCUGAAAAGGUAUCACCUUCGGCGUAUGCUGCAAAACAUUCACUCGAUCCUCCCUUGAAGCUGGCAAGAGGCAGGCUGGGAAAAUGCCAUGGAAAGAAGCAGCAGACCCUGCCAGAGUCUCCAGUUUCCCAAGUCAAAGAGGGAUCUGGUUGGUGCCCCAGAGCUGACUGCCCACCGAACAGCCCGCAGAGACGGGUCUGCGUGAGAGGCGUGUCCACGCGGAACUUGAGGGAGCUCCAGGGUAUGAACAGCACCGCCCGCCCCACAAGAGCUUGAGCAAUCCCUUUUAGGGAAAUUACAUGCCAGGGGCUGUAGAAGCGAGCAAGCCUAUUAAGUUACUCUGCAUUUUCUGGGCCGAGGAGAGACUAUUUUCCACCAUUUAGAGGAAACUUGGUUCAUGAUAUUCAUUUGGAAAAUUCUGUCAAUCUUCAUAUGUUGAUAGCCUACCAAUCCUUUGGUUUGGCUAGAAGGGCAUUCUUCCUGCCGAACACACCGCCUGCACGCGGUUCUCAUACUGUAAAUUUCUGCAGGGUGGGGACUGGCCAAAAUCUUGGUUUCCACACGGCACCAACACAAUGUUUUUGCGCAUGGUAGGUGGCCAAAUUAAAUUCAGGUUUCUGUGUCUGGAUAGUCCUACCAGGAAUUUGUGAAACUUAGGUGAAAGAAUGUUUUGAUGUAGAUUACGAUUACUACCCAUUUAUUUCUAAUUAGAAGCAUCUUUUUUUUGCCUGUAACAAUGAUAGCAUGACUCGUUUAUCUUAAUAAGUAACAACGUUUUGACAGCUCUGAGAAUUAGACAUCAUUAUCAAAACUUCUCAAAUGUUUGUGCUUUGUCUAAAAACUGGAGAAAAAUGUGCAAUUAAAAUUUGAUCAGAUGAAUAUUUCUUUCACAAAAGAAUGUCGAACUCUUAAAAAGAGUUAAGAGAAUAUUGUCUUAAAUAUUAAAUUCCGUUCUCUUCCUCUUGGAUUUAAUUUUUACAUAUGGGGCACACUCACAGUGGGACCUGCUGGAUGAUGCUGAAAAGGAUGGGUAGUGAUGCGGGUUUGCUUUUUCUUGAUGCCUCGUUGUUUUCCCCUAAAUGGCAGGGAUUUUUAUUCAGCCAAGGAACACAUUCCUCUCAAGUUCCCUGCAUUAGCUCCAGAAUAUAUUUUGCCAGGUGACAAGUCUAGCAUUUGAAAUGUUUUACCUAGAAAAGCAGACCUUAUAAUGUCUGGCUUUGAUGCUUGGCAUGUGAAUGUGUCGGUAUGUUAGUCUAAUAAUCAUGUUUGCUUAUGCAAAUAUUAAGUUUCUCUGUUAAAAGUUUAGACACCCCAACACACCCACCCCCUUCCACCAGACCUAGUCUACUUAGCUCACAAUUUCCUGGGAAAUAUUGCAUUUCUGCGAGGAACAGGGAUCUCACUGAGCUUCAGCUGACACUCAAUACCACGUUUAAAUUGCCUUUGACAAGCAAAGUUCCACCUGCUCCGAGACAAGAGUCCUGACCUGAACUGGUGUCUCUGGAAUUUGGAUCCAGAGCUACUGUUGGGGUGCUAAAUUUAUUCCCCACGGGCUGAUAAAGUAGCCUGGGUUGUGCAUGCAAGGGAGAGCCAGGCUUGAUCUGUGUACCUACUAGAUUAGAAGAGAAGGUAUUUUGUCCUGGA
Long non-coding RNA from Phyllostomus hastatus (greater spear-nosed bat), 2520 nucleotides. RefSeq lists it as uncharacterized. NCBI's taxonomy places the organism in Eukaryota, Metazoa, Chordata, Mammalia, Chiroptera, Phyllostomidae. The transcript is spliced from 4 exons. The record is from RefSeq and is a predicted model, not a curated record.